GCCUUAGUAGUAUAAAAAUUACAUUGGUCUUGUAAACCAAAAACGAAGCACUAUUCUUCCUAAGACA
Molecule: transfer RNA, 67 nt
Filed under: Proechimys quadruplicatus (Napo spiny rat)
Lineage: Eukaryota; Metazoa; Chordata; Mammalia; Rodentia; Echimyidae
Description: tRNA-Thr
Rfam family: tRNA
About the family: Transfer RNA (tRNA) molecules are approximately 80 nucleotides in length. Their secondary structure includes four short double-helical elements and three loops (D, anti-codon, and T loops).
Source: RNAcentral